This 480-nucleotide ribosomal RNA is filed under the name uncultured bacterium. Its description in RNAcentral is "partial 16S ribosomal RNA". The record is from RNAcentral.
UUCGCCCUUACAGUUACCUUGUUACGACUUCACCCCAGUUAUCGGUCCCACCUUCGACAGCUCCCUCCAUUUGGUUGGGUCACCGGCUUCGGGCGUUACUGACUCCCAUGGUGUGACGGGCGGUGUGUACAAGACCCGGGAACGUAUUCACCGCGACAUUCUGAUUCGCGAUUACUAGCGAUUCCAGCUUCAUGUAGUCGAGUUGCAGACUACAAUCCGAACUGAGACGUUAUUUUUGGGAUUUGCUCACAUUCACAUGUUCGCUUCCCUUUGUUUACGCCAUUGUAGCACGUGUGUAGCCCUGGUCAUAAAGGGCAUGAUGAUUUGACGUCAUCCCCACCUUCCUCCAGGUUGUCCCUGGCAAUCUCUCUAGAGUGCCCACCUUACGUGCUGGCUACUAAAGAUAAAGGUUGCGCUCGUUGCGGGACUUAACCCAUCAUCUCACGACACGAGCUGACGACAACCAUGCACCACCUGUCU